CGCUCUUUGAUAAAAUUUUUGAAGUAUAAAGAGUUCUGCCUGCCCAGUGACGCUGUUAAACGGCCGCGGUACUUUGACCGUGCAAAGGUAGCAUAAUCAUUUGCCUCUUAAUUAGAGGCUGGUAUGAAUGGCAAGACGGGGGUUAAGCUGUCUCUUUCCUUAAUCUUGAAAUUAAUAUUUUUGUGAAGAAGCAAAAAUAAAAUCGUAGGACGAGAAGACCCUAUUGAGCUUUAAUGAAGGUUUUGGGCCUUUUUUUAUUUUUUAUGCUAAUAAAAAUUUUUUAUAAAAUAUUAUUAAAUUUACUAGAAAAAUUCUUAGGUUUUAUUUCAUAUCAUUUUGGUUGGGGCAACCAUGGAGAAAAAAUAUCCUCCAUUAUAAAAUAGAUUUAUACUAAAAGUAACACCUUUAAAAUAUAAAGAAUUAUAUAUUUAUUGAUCCACUUUUUUGAGUGAUCAAAGGAACAAGUUACCAUAGGGAUAACAGCGUAAUUUCUUUGGAGAGUUCAUAUUGAUAAAGAAGUUUGCGACCUCGAUGUUGGAUCGAGAUUUCCAGGAGAUGCAGCAGUUUCCAAGGGUUGGUCUGUUCGACCAUUAAAAUCUU
RNAcentral lists this ribosomal RNA (600 nucleotides) under Peribolaster folliculatus. RNAcentral's name for it is "partial 16S ribosomal RNA". It matches the Rfam family "Bacterial large subunit ribosomal RNA", at positions 1816 to 2597 of the family's 2925-position model. The record is from RNAcentral. Lineage: Eukaryota; Metazoa; Echinodermata; Asteroidea; Spinulosida; Korethrasteridae.